RNAcentral lists this unclassified non-coding RNA (326 nucleotides) under sea anemone metagenome. Its description in RNAcentral is "partial contains small subunit ribosomal RNA and internal transcribed spacer 1". The stretch from base 1 to 154 matches the Rfam family "Eukaryotic small subunit ribosomal RNA", at positions 1678 to 1831 of the family's 1831-position model. The record is from RNAcentral.
GCACCUACCGAUUGAAUGGUUCGGUGAAAAUCUCGGACUGCGGCUUGGAUGCCUUCGGGCAACCAAGCUGUGGAAAGUUGUUUAAACCUCAUCAUUUAGAGGAAGGUGAAGUCGUAACAGGGUUUCCGUAGGUGAACCUGCAGAAGGAUCAUCCUUCUGCAGGUUCACCUACGGAAACCUUGUUACGACUUUUACUUCCUCUAAAUGAUCAAGUUUGAACAACUUUUCGGCAGUCCGCUGCUCCGUUGCCGGGGCGGCGGCGCCAAUCAGGAGUCCUCACUAAACCAUUCAAUCGGUAGUAGCGACGGGCGGUGUGUACCGUUCGG